UACCAUGAAUUCGGAUCACCUCGAAACGAAGUAAUUUGCUGGUCGGGGACGUAUAUGAAAAUAGAGUAAAGUCUAUUUGAUAAUGUGAUGGGGUGUAGCAUAUGUGACAGAAAAUUAAAUUUUCCAAAGCUACUUUCUUUCGCCCCACAAAUCCUCGAUAACCCACUUCUGUUACAUCACAACGUCUCUGCCAGUGGCGAUUUCUGCAAUACUCUGCCUGCUCUUGAUAUUUGGUAAGCUUCCUUCCACGAGUUUCCUGCAUGUGUUCCUCCCAGGGUGCAGUCAGUUUCCAUAUUAUCACCUGUUUGUUGAAAUUAGAGAAGUUCAAUUUGUCUUGGAGGAUUGCUUUUCGGCACGAUGUGAUCUGGAAACUUUAAUCUUUCCACAAGAUCAACUCUCAGUGGUGGAAAGUAUGCCGGACAGUUGUUGAAGUUUCAGUCAAACUGAGAAAAGUGAUGACCUCAUUCCUAGAGUAGUAUUUACUGGAUUGAGGGGCUGUCAUUAUCGUCUUCGCAACCGGUCUGAGUACCCGGUCAUACCAGAUGCUCAAGACCCUGAAAAGGUGAAUGCAAGCUGUACGUUACAUAGCUAACACGGAGUAUUGCUGAAGUGGAUAGGAACUUAAACUCCAACUUCUUACACAAGCAUUCGCCAUCUUUCUCUUGAGGAAAGUCACUUAAUUUGCCUUAAUAAGUUCACUGGAACGACAAACACCUAUGAAAUCAAGCGUGCGAAUGUCGUUAUUACGUAAGGAUGUACUUUGAAGGCAGCAAAAUGAGUCGCCAGAACGUUGGCUAGAAUGCCUUGCAAUAAUCAUUCCAGUUUUCUGCAAGUGCUAGUUCAAAUCCCGCUCAGAUCGUCUUUCAUCCUUUUUGACGUCAAUAAAUAAAAUACCAGUCGU
Molecule: long non-coding RNA, 901 nt
Organism: Octopus bimaculoides (California two-spot octopus)
Lineage: Eukaryota; Metazoa; Mollusca; Cephalopoda; Octopoda; Octopodidae
Source: RefSeq, a predicted model, not a curated record